RNAcentral lists this signal recognition particle RNA (268 nucleotides) under Actinomycetota bacterium. RNAcentral describes it as "signal recognition particle sRNA large type". It matches the Rfam family "Bacterial large signal recognition particle RNA". From Rfam's summary of the family: The signal recognition particle (SRP) is a universally conserved ribonucleoprotein involved in the co-translational targeting of proteins to membranes. Archaeal SRP consists of a 7S RNA and homologues of the eukaryotic SRP19 and SRP54 proteins. The record is from RNAcentral. Lineage: Bacteria; Bacillati; Actinomycetota.
CCGCGCUAGGUGGGGGGCUCGGGGUCCCCUGAACCGGAAACCCUCGAUACGCCGGGCCGAUUACCCGCUUGCGGCCCGCGGUUGACCGGGCAGCCCCCGGUGACGAGCGUCGAUGGUCGAGUCCCGCGCGACUCGGAGCCGUGAACCCGGUCAGGCCCGGAAGGGAGCAGCCGUAAGCGGUGUACCGAGAGUGCCGCGGGCGAGCUCGGCCGGAGCUUCGUUACCGGGAAAGCGACGGCCGUCUGCGGGUCCAGAGCGGGGCGCGCGG